This 178-nucleotide ribosomal RNA is filed under the name uncultured bacterium. RNAcentral's name for it is "partial 16S ribosomal RNA". It matches the Rfam family "Bacterial small subunit ribosomal RNA", at positions 1323 to 1500 of the family's 1533-position model. The record is from RNAcentral.
AAGCUGGAAUCGCUAGUAGUCGCGGAUCAGAAUGCCGCGGUGAAUACGUUCCCGGGUCUUGUACACACCGCCCGUCACACCAUGGGAGUCGGAAAUGCCCGAAGUCUGUGACCCAACCUUAGGGAGGGAGCAGCCGAAGGCAGGUCGGAUGACUGGGGUGAAGUCGUAACAAGGUAAC